UGUCUCCUGCUUUUUAUAUGGUUGGAUUCCAAAUGGAGUUACCCACAUUCAAUCCUCUAUAUAAGUUCUAAUGUCUCGAGCCAAUUUUCUUAGACCAAUAGAUUUGUUUAAACCUCUUACCCGGC
Long non-coding RNA from Ipomoea nil (Japanese morning glory), 125 nucleotides. RefSeq lists it as uncharacterized. The transcript is spliced from 3 exons. The record is from RefSeq and is a predicted model, not a curated record. Lineage: Eukaryota; Viridiplantae; Streptophyta; Magnoliopsida; Solanales; Convolvulaceae.